This is a long non-coding RNA of Taeniopygia guttata (zebra finch), 2186 nucleotides long. NCBI's taxonomy places the organism in Eukaryota, Metazoa, Chordata, Aves, Passeriformes, Estrildidae. The record is from Ensembl.
UUUUUUUUUUUUUUUUUUUUUUGCUGGGUGCCUCUUCACUGAGGGAGCUGUUAGAACUGAAGUGGGGCAAGUCAACCCAGCACCACCACCAUGUUCUCCACUAAAACACAUCCACACAGCUGCUGAACACUUCCAGGAGUGGUGACUCCACCGCUGCCCUGGGCAGCCUGUGCCAACUCUUUGCAACCCUUCCCAUGAAGAAACAUUCCCUUAUAUCCAGACUAAACCUCCCCUGGCACAGCCUGAGGCCAUUCUCACUUGUCCUGUCUCUUGUAAACUGACUCCCACCUGGCUGCUCCCUCCUGUCAGGGAUUUGUAGAACCCUCAGCUCCCACCAACCUUUAAAAAACCUCUUGUUACAACCCUCAGCAAUUUAUUUCCAUUCUGCCUGGGUGCUUUGCAGAGGAACCCUGGAGAAUGGCAGAAAACAACAGUUAAAAGAAUAGAGUGGAAUUAUCCAUCUCCUGCUCAUUAAUUGACUUCAGAUGGUACCAGCUUGCUGGUGUUUUUUCUGCAUCUCUGGCAGGGAAUGUUUUAUUUGCUUAGUAAAGUUUUCACAUGCAAUAUGUUGUUGCUGUUUUGUUUUGUUUCUGAAAUCCCUUACCUAUAUAUUUAUUACAGACAGAUAUUAUACCCUGGCAGUAAAGAAACACUGCAAAGUGCUAGUUAACUUCUCAGAGCUGCCUGAAUAAUUCCAUAAAUACGAGGGGACUGAAAUGACAACAAUAAAGGGAUCUAUACUUUGAACAAUAAAUAUGAACUGGAGCUCUGCUUUGGAUUUGAGGCAGGCUGCAACUAAUAGGUAUUCAGCUUGUGUGGGCCACUGACAUUUAAAUAAACACAUGUGCAGUCCAAGGGGGUUGGCUGCAGAGCCUCUUGUCAAUUGAAUCCAGCCCUGGGAACACUCAGAGAGUGGCUCAGGAUUGCAGGAAUUCCUGGGCUGUAGCCCUCGGUGGGAUCUCUCCUGAAACCAAAAGAUGUCCUCCAUGGGGGGGAAAGAAAAAAAAGAGGUGGGGGGGACACAAAGGGAAUGAGGGGGGUGGUGGAAACCACCCCAAAAUAUGUGGCUUCAAAGAAAUGCUGAAAAUAUUUAUAAGAAAAAUGCCUGGCAGGCUGCCCAUUGCAACUGAAGGAGAACUUGGCUCCUCAAGCUGAGAUAGCUCAGCAUUCCUACACUGCCUUGGGAAAAAAUCACCUCUAAACAGGGCCAGUCUAUUCGAAUGUGCAGAUCCAGGCCAGAGUGUACUCAGAAAACCCAUUCCUAAUGGGAGAGGAGCAGGCUCCCAGGCUGCAGCAGGAAGGAUCCUGGGGCAGCACCUUUGUGCAGCUCCUGGAACCUGCAAAGGCAGCUUUGGUUGCAGUGGCAUCAGGUUUUCUGCAAAGGUAGCCCUAAAAAUCAAAAAUUGUUCGGCAGCAUCAGACAGACAGAGAGGGACAGGGCUACAUGGUGCUCACCCUCAGCACCUCACACUGAAAACUGGCAGGCCAUGAAGUGUCUCCAGCACUUGUUUUGUGUGAUUCUCACAAACCUGAAGUAUUCACAGUCAAAUAGUCUCCCUCAGUAUUGCAGAAAGCAUCACUUCACAUCCAGGUGUCACCUUUUCCAUCACCAGGGCAAAUGAAGGAUGACUCAGGAAAAAGGAGACAUCAGCUCUGGGGCUGUCAGCCUCAGAAUGAAGGAAAUGGCUAGUUUAAAAAAUAAAAUUUAAAAAAAAAAACAACAAUAAACCAAAUUUUUUAAAAUCCAAAGAGGAAUUAACUGAGCAACAUAUCACUGAGUUUAACACCGAGCAAAUCAGUAGAGGCUGUGUAACAACAUUACAGAUAAUUAGAAAACUGGGAUGGAAGGAAACCAUUCUUUUGGAAGCUGGAAUUGUGGUUCCUGGGGAAUCCUUUGUGGCCAUCAAUGCAUACAGAAUAGGGGCAAUUUACUUGGUACCGGGUACUCUGGUUCCUCAAAAGCUUCCUCACCAGGGGCGCCUUGGAAAUUAAUCUCCCUUGGGAUUAGAAGAAAAGUUCUCCAGGGGCGCCUUGGAAAUUAAUCUCUCUUAGGGUUAGAAGAAAAGUUCUCAAUUGAAUUCCAAACUGGUAGGAAACAGGAAGGGCCAGGUAGGAAUAAAACAGUUAUUUUUCACAGCAGAGGGAAUCCCAGGGGAAUCCCCAAGCAAUUGGGCUGUGGCAUGUGU